CAGUAGCCGCGGUAAUACGUAGGUGGCAAGCGUUGUCCGGAAUUAUUGGGCGUAAAGGGCUCGCAGGCGGUUUCUUAAGUCUGAUGUGAAAGCCCCCGGCUCAACCGGGGAGGGUCAUUGGAAACUGGGAAACUUGAGUGCAGAAGAGGAGAGUGGAAUUCCACGUGUAGCGGUGAAAUGCGUAGAGAUGAGGAGGAACACCAGUGGCGAAGGCGACUCUCUGGUCUGUAACUGACGCUGAGGAGCGAAAGCGCGGGGAGCGAACAGGAUUAGAUACCCGCGUAGUCCCUGUCUCUUAUAC
This 301-nucleotide ribosomal RNA is filed under the name uncultured bacterium. Its description in RNAcentral is "partial 16S ribosomal RNA". It matches the Rfam family "Bacterial small subunit ribosomal RNA", at positions 509 to 807 of the family's 1533-position model. The record is from RNAcentral.